RNAcentral lists this ribosomal RNA (478 nucleotides) under uncultured bacterium. RNAcentral describes it as "bacterial SSU rRNA". It matches the Rfam family "Bacterial small subunit ribosomal RNA", at positions 328 to 803 of the family's 1533-position model. The record is from RNAcentral.
GAAUUCAACUCCUACGGGAGGCAGCAGUGAGGAAUAUUGGACAAUGGGCGCAAGCCUGAUCCAGCCAUGCCGCGUGCAGGAUGACGGUCCUAUGGAUUGUAAACUGCUUUUGUACAGGAAGAAACACCUCUACGUGUAGAGAUUUGACGGUACUGUAAGAAUAAGGAUCGGCUAACUCCGUGCCAGCAGCCGCGGUAAUACGGAGGAUCCAAGCGUUAUCCGGACUCAUUGGGUUUAAAGGGUCCGUAGGCGGUUUAGUAAGUCAGUGGUGAAAGCCCAUCGCUCAGCGGUGGAACGGCCAUUGAUACUGCUAGACUUGAAUUAUUAGGAAGUAACUAGAAUAUGUAGUGUAGCGGUGAAAUGCUUAGAGAUUACAUGGAAUACCAAUUGCGAAGGCAGGUUACUACUAAUUGAUUGACGCUGAUGGACGAAAGCGUGGGUAGCGAACAGGAUUAGAAACCCGGGUAGUCCAGGCGUU